UGAAGAACCUAUCAAAUAUUAGUUACAAAAUUGGACCGCAACAAUUUUAAAAAAUCAUUUUUUUUCUAGGUACUUAAGUAUCUAUUUAAUUAGAGAAACACCAAAAAAAUUCCAAGAUUCAACCACUAGCUAGGAACGGUCAUUCCCACCGUUUUGACCGCAUUUUGAAACGGGCAUAAAAAAUUCAAAAAAAAUCAAAAAAUUGGAAAACCUUCACAUUGUGUCAUUAUAUGUGACUAAGUUACCCGAAAAAAUAAUAAACUUGUAAUACGGCAAAUAUUUUUAAAAAGUGUUCUCAGAAAUGAGCUAUCAUGUGUGAAGAAUCAUGGCUUUCAACCCAAAUGCUCAAUCUUAUGGCCACAUUCAUGGCAUAGUUUGUUCAAAUGAUCUAAUAUUGUGCACAAAGGUGGAUAUUGGAAUGACAAACAAUGUUGCCCAAGAAAGUUUUCAUUUUCUUUGGACGGAAAUUUCAUUUUCCAUUUUUCGAGUGCCCAAAAUGAGUUUUUUUGUGAAGGACCUACCAAAUAUUUGUUGCAAAAUUGGACCAAAUCAUUUUUAUAAAAUAUUAGGCCAUAUUUAAUGCAUAAUUAACCAAAUGGUUGGGUGUCAAAAGCUUUUAUCCACCUCUGGUGAAAAAGACAAAUUUCUGCCGAUUCAGUUGGAAGCGGGUCAAAUUUGAACUGCAGCUGUCUCAUAGUUUGCUAUUUAUUUUUCCCAAAAGUCAAUUUUAGGUACAAAAGUAUCUAUUUAAUUAGAGAAACAUCAAAAGUUUUCCAAGAUUCAACCACUAGCUAGGAACGGUGAAGCCCGCCGUUUUGACCGCAUUUUGAAACGGGCAUAAAAAAUUUAAAAAAAGUCAAAAAAUUGGAAAACCUUCGCAUUGUGUCAUUAUAUGUGCCAAGUUAGCAGGAAAAAUAAUAAACUGUAAUACGGCAAUUCUUUUAAAAAAUUGUUCUCAGAAAUGAGCUAUCAUCUCUGAAGAUUUAUGGCUUUCAAGCCAAAUGAUCAAUCUUAUGGCCACAUUCAUGGCAUAGUAUGUUCAAAUGAUCUCAUAUUGUGCACAAGGGUGCAUAUUGGAAGGGCAAACAAUGUUGCCUAAGGGAGUUUUCAUUUUCUUUGGACGAAAAAUCAAUUUUCCAUUUUUCGAGUGCCCAAAAUGAGUUUUUUUUGUGAAGGACCUACCAUAUAUUUGUUGCAAAAUGGGACCAGGUCAUUUUUAUAAUAUAUUAGGCCAUAUUUAAUGUACAAUUGACAAAAUGGUUGGUCGUCAAAAGUACCUAUACACCUCUGGUGAAAAAGACAAAUUUCCGCCGAUUCAGCAGGAAGCUGUUCAAAUUUGAACUGCAGUUGCCUCAUAGUUUGCUCUUUAUUUUUUCCAAAAAUCAUUUAUAGGUACAUAAGUAUAUAUUUAAUCAGAAAUACAUGGUUUGGUGGCGAUACGUUGAGGUUUGGAUGGUGGCCCAGGGCCCCAACUCCAAAGCGCGUAGACUCGCAUGCCCGCCGCAUGGUCACCGCGUGACCGUGGCGUUGCCAUGCGUUCUGGGAAGCCUAGGCAUGUCUAGUAGGUUUCGCACUCCCCAGGUAGAUGCUUGGAAGAAAAUAACAACAGAAGAAUCUCACGAGGAGACCGAACAAUGCUCAAACAUGAAUUAGCACCCAAGUGUUUGAUUAGUGGUACGGGAAAUGCACAUGGCCAAUGGGCCUGAGUUUUGGCCGAGGAUGAUCAUCUACUAAGGACACUAUCUUGGAAAAUUUGCAGCUCAAAUGGAGGAGCCUAGGUGUCACUUGCUUUGCAACGUACCAAACUGGACAGAAAUAUGAAUGUUGAAGCCACACUCACAUGUAUUGUUAGAUGGGACUCAAAUUUUGUGGAGAGCUAUGAUUUGGGAAUAUAGAAGAUGUGGCAAAAAUUCAGCUCAUUAGGAUAUGCCUGGCUAGUACUUCCUUCACAACAGUUCGAGUUGAACAAAAACUUUGGAAAUUUGCCGAGGAAGAUUUACCAGGCAAAUGGAGUUGAAUAUUGUCAUGAGGCAAUGAUUUAGAUAGUAAAGAAUGCCCAAUUUUUUGGGGAAUUUUGGGAAUGACAGAAAUAUAGGUUUCUUCACAACCUAGGGCAAAAAUUGACACAUGGACAUGACACAUAGGCAAAACUGAUGAGGUGGCGCCUAGUCAUAGCAAUAAGUAGCAAUGCAUCCACGUUCACAACCUCAUGACUAUUUAUAUUGGUCGUAAUCAGGUAGAAAUAAGGUCAUUGGCGCCUCUUGUCUGCUUUGUGACCAUUUGGUGUAAGCAAUUUCAGGGUUUGAGCCCUUCCAAGCGAAAUGGUCGUGGAUUUACGACCAAUUCAGCUGGGGUCGCUAAGAGAAGGUCACAAGUUGACAUAUUUCUUGUAGUGAACCGGCGACUCCGGUGAAGCUCCAAUGCAGCAAGCGGCGACGCCGACGACGUAUGACCGACGUUCAUGGCAGCACCGACGGUGUGAUGAGCUCCAUUGCAGCGGGAGUUGAGGGAGAUGCCCCCGUCGCAACAGCAGCGACAGGGCUUGCAGCAACCAUGCCACGGGCUGGUAGUAGUGCGUGACGGCCAGCUCCUAGUAGGGAUUGGAGCGGCAGCGCAUAAGUUUUCAGUUUGCUGGCGAUGGAGCUCUCGGGGCAAAAGAAAACAGAACGAGGAAAUGGGUGGACGAGGAUAGAGAUAAGGCAAAGAUGAAAGCAACGUGGGGGUUGGGCCCAUAGGCACGUGUCACCCAAUGGAGGCGGUUUAAGCUUUGCUGAAAUCAACCGGAUGAAUUGAAACGUUUUCCUUUUUAAAUUCACGUUCGAAAUGCGUGCGGAUGUUUAUGACAUGUGGUUGGAUGCACGGGCCCGUAUCCGUGUCUGGCAUUCCGUUUUGCGGCACCGCGUUGGAGAUGCCCCAUGACAAUGGAGAUGGAGGAGGGGGUGCCAUCUAUUUAACCAUUGAGUCAUGGACUAAAGUAAAUCUAGGUGUAAAAUCGCCGAGACACGUUUUCACCUAAAAUCGCCGAGUCAUGGGCGAGAGUUGCUUUUCACCGCAGGGAAUUUGCGUCGCUUCUUCUCGAGGGCAGCCAGAUCUCGCUCAUGGGUGGAGUGUGAGGAACAAUUGAAGGAGCAUGUUGCUAGCUAUUUUUUUAAUCUGUUUACUUUCUCAACAGGACCAAAUAGGGAUGAAAGCUUGCACGCGGUCUCUCCAAAAGUGACUCUCAAAUGAAUCAUAGUCUAUGUGCAGAAUAUACAAAAGAGGAAGUGAAAGAAGCUUUGUUCAAUAUUGGUGACCUAAAGGCGCCAGGACCAGAUGGAAUGCCUGCAAUAUUCUACAAGCAGUUCUGGCAACUGGUGGGCAAUAAGUUAACGGAGGAAGUGCUAAAGUUCCUUCAAGGUGGAGAAAUGCCGGAAGGAUGGAACGAUACCACAGUGGUGUUAAUUCCAAAAAUUUCAAACCCAGAGAACUUGAAGGACCUAAGGCCAAUUAGCCUCUGCAAUGUCAUUUACAAGGUGAUCUCUAAAGUAAUUGCUAAUAGAUUGAAGCAUAUUCUACCUUAUAUUAUAUCUCCGAACCAAAGUGCAUUUGUUCCAGGUAGAAUAAUUUUGGAUAAUAUCUUAUUGGCCUACGAACUUACCCAUUUUUUGCAGAGAAGGAGAAGGGGUAAGGUAGGAUAUGCUACUGUAAAGCUCGACAUGAGUAAGGCUUACGACCGAGUAGAAUGGACAUUCUUGAAGAAAAUGAUGUUAAAAUUGGGGUUUGACAGUGAAUGGGUAAAUCUGGUGAUGAAGUGUGUUGCAACUGUGAGGUACCAGAUCAAGGUUAAUAGAGAUACAACAGAUGUAAUUAUUCCCCAGAGAGGACUGCGCCAGGGAGACCCCCUCUCACCUUACUUAUUUUUGUUGUGUGCGGAUGGUUUCUCAGCAAUGCUAAAUGAAGCUGAAAGAAAUGGGAGUCUGAGAGGGAUUAAAUUAUGCAGGGAGGCGCCAAGUGUGAGUCAUUUACUCUUUGCAGAUGACUCAUUGUUGCUCAUGGAAGCAAAUGUAGAGAAUGCUCGGGUUCUCAACGACAUAUUGCACAAAUAUGAAGCUUUCUCAGGACAGGUGGUAAACAAAGAUAAAUCAGCCAUCCUAUUUAGUAAGAAUACAAGUAGAGAGGAGAAAAGAGAAAUAAUGGAAAUCAUGAACAUAUCAACAGAAGGGAUAAAAGGGAGAUAUCUUGGACUGCCACCUUACAUUGGAAAGGCAAAAUCAAGUGCUUUCCAAUAUAUAAAGGAAAAAGUGUGGAAGAGAACCCAAGGUUGGAAAGAGAAGUUAUUAUCGAAAGCGGGAAAAGAGAUCUUAAUCAAGGCAGUAGCACAGGCAAUCCCAGUAUAUGCAAUGGCUUAUUUCGACCUAACCAAGUCCUUAUGUGAUGACCUUAGUUCCAUAAUAUGCAGAUUUUGGUGGAGCCAUAUGGAUAAGGUCAAUAAAAUCCACUGGACAAGUUGGGAGAAACUAUAUAAAUCCACUGGACAAGUUCCAUAAUAUUCAGAGACCCGCACUCUGUUAAUAUGGCCAUGCUUGCAAGACAAGGAUGGCGGCUACUGCAAAACCCUUCCUCUCUCUAUGCACGAGCACUUGAAGCGAAAUAUCAUCCCGGCCACAGCAUAAUUGAAGCAACGCCAAAGAAUGGGAUGUCUUAUGCACGCAGUAUUUUGAAAGGUGUACAACUCUUAAAGAAAGGCAUAGUUUGGCGAGUCGGAGAUGGAAGAAAUAUUAAUAUUUGGAAAGACCCCUGGCUUCCAAGAGGCAUCACCAGAAGAGUUACCACACUGCAAGGACGAAAUUUAGUCACAAGGGUGGCGGAACUUAUUGAUCCAAUAACUAAUGGUUGGGACAAGGACCUAGUGUGCCAAACUUUCAAUGCAGAAGAUGAUAAGAUAAUCCUACAAAUCCCCAUUUAUGAGCAUACAAAGGACUGUGUGGCUUGGCACUUUGACAAGAAAGGGAAUUUUUUCGUGAAGUCGGCAUACAGAGUAGCAGUAGAUUGUGCAGAAAGGGAAUCAAGAUAUGGCCAGCCAUCUAGCUCUGCAAGCAGAGGAUAAACAACUAAUUUUGAAUGGAAGAAAAUAUGGGCCUUACCUCUCCCGAAUAAAAUUUUGCACUUCCUAUGGCGUAUGUCAACAUACAGCUUAUCUUUAAGAAUGAAAUUGAGGAAUAGAGGUAUGAAAGUGGAUACUAGAUGUCCAGUUUGUAACAGAUUGGGUGAGGAUGGGGGGGCACUGCUUUCUGAAAUGCAAGAAAGUGAGGAGGCUUUGGUGGCUAGCCCAAAUGGAAGAAAUUAGAGAGAAACUUUUAAAAAGCAGUGACCCAAUAAGUAUGUUCGAUGAGAUAUUUCGCCUGACCGAGGAAGAUCGCAUGAAGGUGUGUAUUCUGUUCUGGGUGUUUUUUGAAUGCAGGAACCUUAAGAAGCACAGCAGCACCCAGAAACAAGAUUCUAUCAUAUGUUGGUCUCCUCCCCCAAGUGGGAUCCUCAAAAUAAAUACUGAUGGUGCUUUUCAUGAGUCAUCUUUGUCUGGUGGAUGGGGUUUUACUGUCAGAAAUGAUAGUGGUGUGCUUAUGGCAGCAGGAGCAGGAAAUCUGGAACAUGUAUCCAAUGCUCUCCGCACCGAAGCCCUUGCCAUGUUAUAUGCAACCAAUACUACUACUACUACACAAAUGGGAUGUAAUCGUGUGAUAUUUGAAACAGACUCCGUGGUGUUGAAGCAGGCGAUCUUAAGCGAGGAGUAUGACUUGUCGACUUUAGGUGCAGUGUUUCAGGAAAUAAAAUUUCUUGAAUGUUAGUGUUUGUCCAAGAUCUUGUAAUGUAGCAGCUCACGGCCUAGCAGCACAUGGUGUAAAAUUAGGAGACAGUGAAUAUGAAACUUGGCUAGGCUAUUUCCCUGAGUUUGUUGUAAACUCUGUAGCUGGUGAUUCGGCCGGUCUAAAUUUGUAAUGGAAUACAAGGUUGUUCCUUCAAAAAAGAAAAGAAAAAGAAAAGCAACUCUCGCCGCACGCACGCACGCACGCACGCACGGCGUCAUCGCUCAGUUCCAUCUCAUCUCGCCCCUCCCUUUCCACCGUUUCCAGUAAGUUUCGGCCUCGCUUUCCCGACCCAGCCCGCAAGCCACACGCAUCGGGUCUCAGCGAGCGAUCUCACCACUGACCCGCUCCCUCCUCCCGCGUCACGUGUCCCCCCACUCUCCCCCCAUCUCCCCCGCCUCACAGCUCACCCCGCCGGCGGCCGCAGCGGCGCGCCCCCGACCAGGCGGAGCCGCGCCGGCGGCCAGGGCAGCGGAGAUGGUCUUCGUCUGGCUCGCCGCCUUCUUCCUCGUCGUCACGCUCAUCGUGCUCGUCAUCUUCCAGGUGAGACAGACCCCCCGCCCCGCCUCUUCUCCGGUCGCGGCCGGCUCGGGCCAUACGGAGCCCCUGGGCCCCGGCGCGAUCUCGCCUUGUCGUCUGUUAACCCCCUGGCGAUUCUGCCGAGAUUUUGGGAAGGGGUGGGCGGCGGAUUUACGCGUUCUCCGACCCGAAUUCUCCCACGAUCCGGGGUUUGGAGAGGGGCCUGACUCCGGAUUGCGGAUUUGGAGCUUCUGGUUGGCUGGAUAGCGCAGGAGCGCCAGGGGAUUGGGUGCUGCUGCGUGUUCUGCUGCUGGUGCUGGUUCGUGCGCGGUGUCUGCGUCCAGAUCUCCCACAUGUUCGUCCUGCGUUAGCCUGCAGCAACCCAGAAUUAACGCCCGGCAACCGUCGUUUCUAGUCUUGCAGUUCUGAAAAUCAGUUUCAGUUCUGAAAAUCGAUUUCAUUUGUUUUGUUGGUAGACGCAUUAGGUGCUCCGAUAGGUAUUCAGCACACAGUAUGUUCAGUAAAAAAAAUGAAUCGAUCUUUAUAAGGUCGUACUGAAGGUUUCGUGUGAGGUGGGUUUAUUCACCAAAUGUGCAAUCAAGCUCUUGUCCCAGUUUGGUAGGGCUAUACGAGUUCCACCCUCUAUCCUGCUACUGUUAGUCUAUCAUGAUACCUCUAGAGAUCAGAAUCAGGUAGUGGAUGGUUAUGAACUUAGAAUAUCUUUGCAGCUUGCCUAGUGUGAAACAUUCCGUGUUCAAGUACCUGAUCUUUGCCCUUAGAUUGGGUGAGGUAUCUAGCUUUUGUACUACCUUUUCCUAAACCUUCUUUUCUUACUGUAUACUUUUCCCGGCUCCAUUUUCUGUCUUCCUGUAUCUAGCUUUUGUUACUGUAUCCUUUUGUUGGUUCUAGCUGCAACUUCCUCUGUGCUUAGGUAAGCCCUUCAUGGGUGAUGAACAUUUUCAGCAGACUAGUUUUGAUUUUCUUGUAGGACAAAGGGAAAAUCAUCGAUAUAUAUCUCCAUUGAUUUUGAUUGCCAGGUUGUUUUGGCAUUUAGUAUUUCCUAAUGUUCCUGAUUAAACAUAGAACCUGACUGUUUUUGUUUCGUGUGAGGUGGAUCGUUCAUCCUUGCUCAUAUUGCUUUAGGUGGAGUCUGCAUGGCUCUUUACUCAUGUUUAACGUUUUAAUCAACAACAUUCAUAAGUAAGCUUAGCCAGAAAGUUAUUCUUAUUCCUGACGAUUUAUGUUUCUUUUACAGUUGAUGUGCUUGGCAGAUCUGGAGUUCGAUUAUAUCAACCCGUUUGAUUCAUCCUCUCGAAUCAAUAAAGUGGUUAUGCCAGAAUUUAUAGUGCAAGCACUUCUAAGUGCAUUAUUCCUCUUAUCUGGGCAUUGGGCGAUGUUCUUGCUUUCUGCCCCAAUGGUGUACUAUAAUUAUACAUUGUAAGUGACUCUUGGCUUCUGUUUGCCUUACAAUUUUUAAAACAACUGAUAUGGUUCCUCUAGGCUGUGGUCAGUAUUUUGUUUAUUGAACAUUAGCUGCUACAUAACGUACCAUGCAUAGUUUAACAGAUUAACUGAAAGUUUGAAAUAGUAACAUGCGUCAUUUCUCAUCAUACGUGAGAACUGAGAACCAGAAGAAAAUAGGGAAACGGGUGCUGAAGACUGAUACAUCUAUUUUAUAUUUUUAUGUGAUGUUAGACUGUUUGUUUUGAUAGAAAUAUUUAGUGAUAUGGACCCAAGUCUUCUCCUGCUUCAGUCUUUGUACUUCACACAUAAUGUUCUGAAGGUGUUUUCAUGAUCUAAGUUCUUGGAAAUUAUUUUAUUUCCUAAGAUAUUUGGAUGCAUCUAAGUGCUGUGGUACAAUAUCGUCAUGUUAGUGUGAAAAAUCUCAAAUCUCUGAAACAUAGAUUUAUUUAAAGAGCCUGCAAAUAUGGCGUCACUGGUUGGAAUCACAAACAGCUAGGCAUAUAUAACCUAAAAUUGGCAAUACAUGCUCUGCAGCGAAGCUAAGAAUAGGUCUUGCACCCUUAAAAUUCUGCUUUUGUCUCCAUAUAUUGACUUUGGGACUUCAGGGCACUGACCUGCUGUCAGAUUAUUCGUGCAUUUACUGUUUGUACUAUCUGAAUAACUUCUUUACUACAGCACAUGGUGUCACUCACACACAUAACCCUACUGUAUCCGUUUUUUAACUCAUAAUUAGCUCUACUUGGCUGGGAUGUACUCACUGAAGGUUUUGCAUGCGCCAUUCUUGGUUUUAUAUGUUGUGAAUAAGUGUAACCUUUUGUUGUCUUUGCAGGUACGAGCGGCGGCAGCAUCUUGUAGAUGUGACAGAGAUAUUUAACCAUCUUUCACGGGAGAAGAAGCGCCGUCUUUUUAAGAUAGCUGCUCUUAUUGUCCUCCUAUUCUUGUCCUUGUUCUGGUAAAUAUAACAUAUACCUACAUUAUUUGCUACUCCCUCCUAUCCAAAAAAAGAGUCGUGGUUUUAGUUCCUAACUAAAACCACGACUGGUUUUAGUUAGGAACUAAAACCACCGAUCCAAAAAAAAGAGUCGUGGUUUUAGUUCCUAACUAAAACCAGUCGUGGUUUUAGUUAGGAACUAAAACCACGACACUUUUUUUGGAUAGGAAGGAGUAGUAUUCACUGCAAGUCUGCAACCAGCAAAGAAGGAAAAUAACCGCCUCUUGUUUCUGUGUUUGUCUGCAGGAUGAUUUGGAGCGUACUGGAGGAGCACGAGUAGAACGAGAAAAACACUGAUAGCUCAACCUGGUUCUGCAGCCAUUAGUUAGGUAUUACGACAUGGUCCUCAUGGCCUGCUGGACACCUACUCCGAUGCCGUCAUUAUUCAUCCCCAAGCCUUUUGGAUAAAAUUUAGGGUGUCUGGAGAAACGAUGCAAGCAGAAGGGCGAAUACAACGUGUCCGAGGUGCUGUUUGUUGCUCGCGCCUAGCGAAAUCUCCUACUGUUGUAGCGUGUAACAUGACAUGUAAGUUAGGAGCCACUCCCUGUUUAUUUGAUUGUGCAUCCGUUCAUAUGGGGCGAAGGAGUUUGCUGCACCCAACUGUGCAUGGUUUUUGUUCCGACCGACAUUUUCAUGUUAUGUGUUGCCUUGCACCUUUAUAUAUGCCGUUGACUAUGUUAAUGUCGUGGUCGAUUUGUAUUGUUGAUUGAUGGGUAUGCAAGCAGAGUAGGCAUUUCAAUUUGGACUGCCGGUACAUGUUUCAGUUGAUUGAUAAGUACCAAGUGGUAUAGAUUCUCAUUUAUGGAUGCAGUUUGUUUCAGUUUAUUGAUAAAUAAUUAUCGAAACUCGUCAGAAGAGCAUAAACUGUUUUAUUUCAGAUGAACAUAAACACACCACUAAUUGGCCAACAGCAAAAGCGUACGAGUAAUCACAACUAUUAGCUCUCGGGUAGAGAACGCUUGGACCAAAAUACAGCAGUAAUAGUAUAACUAGCAGCACCAUAAGAACUCAUGGACCAUCUCCCUUCAGACCUAUGAAGCAACCCGGCUUCUUUUCAG
RNAcentral lists this long non-coding RNA (9875 nucleotides) under Triticum aestivum (bread wheat). Its description in RNAcentral is "long non-coding RNA (TAES_LNC017430)". Lineage: Eukaryota; Viridiplantae; Streptophyta; Magnoliopsida; Poales; Poaceae. The record is from RNAcentral.